Molecule: unclassified non-coding RNA, 327 nt
Filed under: soil metagenome
Description: partial contains 5.8S ribosomal RNA, internal transcribed spacer 2, and large subunit ribosomal RNA
Rfam family: 5.8S ribosomal RNA (bases 1-120)
Source: RNAcentral
GAUGAAGAACGCAGCGAAAUGCGAUAAGUAGUGUGAAUUGCAGAAUUCAGUGAAUCAUCGAAUCUUUGAACGCACAUUGCGCCCCUUGGUAUCCCGAGGGGCAUGCCUGUUCGAGCGUCAUUUCACCACUCAAGCCUGGCUUGGUGUUGGGCGACGUCCCCUUUAGGGACGCGCCUCGAAACGCUCGGCGGCGUGGCACCGGCUUUAAGCGUAGCAGAAUCUUUCGCUUUGGAAGUCGGGGCCCCGCCUGCCGGAAUACCUACUCGUAAGGUUGACCUCGGAUCAGGCAGGGAUACCCGCUGAACUUAAGCAUAUCAAUAAGCGGGA